CACCUGUAUAUAGAGGCUCAGUCCUCAACGCAGCGGCCAUGGGUUUGACUCCAACCAGUGGAUCUUUGCUGCAUGUCAUUCCCCCUCUCUCCCUUUUUAUGUCUAAGCUGUUCUGUCACAAAUAAAGGCCUAA
Molecule: long non-coding RNA, 133 nt
Organism: Sander lucioperca (pikeperch)
Lineage: Eukaryota; Metazoa; Chordata; Actinopteri; Perciformes; Percidae
Exons: 3
Source: RefSeq, a predicted model, not a curated record